This 556-nucleotide ribosomal RNA is filed under the name uncultured bacterium. RNAcentral describes it as "bacterial SSU rRNA". It matches the Rfam family "Bacterial small subunit ribosomal RNA", at positions 1 to 583 of the family's 1533-position model. The record is from RNAcentral.
ACUUCAGNCGCGCUGUAUGUCGCCGCAGGUUAAUUGUUNUUGGCUCAACUGGCCGCUGUGUUACUAGCCUAACACAUGCAGUCGAACGAGNACUUCGGGUCUAGUGGCGCACGGGUGCGUAACGCGUGGGAAUCUGCCCUUUGGUUCGGAAUAACAGUUGGAAACGACUGCUAAUACCGGAUGAUGACGAAAGUCCAAAGAUUUAUCGCCAGAGGAUGAGCCCGCGUAGGAUUAGCUAGUUGGUGUGGUAAAGGCGCACCAAGGCGACGAUCCUUAGCUGGUCUGAGAGGAUGAUCAGCCACACUGGGACUGAGACACGGCCCAGACUCCUACGGGAGGCAGCAGUGGGGAAUAUUGGACAAUGGGCGAAAGCCUGAUCCAGCAAUGCCGCGUGAGUGAUGAAGGCCUUAGGGUUGUAAAGCUCUUUUACCCGGGAUGAUAAUGACAGUACCGGGAGAAUAAGCUCCGGCUAACUCCGUGCCAGCAGCCGCGGUAAUACGGAGGGAGCUAGCGUUGUUCGGAAUUACUGGGCGUAAAGCGCACGUAGGCGGCUUUG